UGGGCCUAUAGCUCAGCUGGUUAGAGCGCACGCCUGAUAAGCGUGAGGCCGGUGGUUCGAGUCCACUUAGGCCCACCAU
This 79-nucleotide transfer RNA is filed under the name Staphylococcus aureus subsp. aureus ED98. RNAcentral describes it as "tRNA-Ile". It matches the Rfam family "tRNA". From Rfam's summary of the family: Transfer RNA (tRNA) molecules are approximately 80 nucleotides in length. Their secondary structure includes four short double-helical elements and three loops (D, anti-codon, and T loops). Further hydrogen bonds mediate the characteristic L-shaped molecular structure. tRNAs have two regions of fundamental functional importance: the anti-codon, which is responsible for specific mRNA codon recognition, and the 3' end, to which the tRNAs corresponding amino acid is attached (by aminoacyl-tRNA synthetases). tRNAs cope with the degeneracy of the genetic code in two manners: having more than one tRNA (with a specific anti-codon) for a particular amino acid; and 'wobble' base-pairing, i.e. permitting non-standard base-pairing at the 3rd anti-codon position. Lineage: Bacteria; Bacillati; Bacillota; Bacilli; Caryophanales; Staphylococcaceae. The record is from RNAcentral.